AUUGAACGCUGGUGGCAUGCCUUACACAUGCAAGUCGAACGGCAUCGCGGGAAAGCUUGCUUUCCUGGCGGCGAGUGGCGAACGGGUGAGUAACACAUCGGAACGUACCGGCUAGUGGGGGAUAACCCGUCGAAAGACGGGCUAAUACCGCAUACGCUCUUCGGAGGAAAGCAGGGGACCUUUGGGCCUUGCGCUAGCCGAGCGGCCGAUGUCCGGUUAGCUAGUUGGUGGGGUAAAGGCCUACCAAGGCGACGAACGGUAGCGGGUCUGAGAGGACGAUCCGCCACACUGGGACUGAGACACGGCCCAGACUCCUACGGGAGGCAGCAGUGGGGAAUCUUGGACAAUGGGGGCAACCCUGAUCCAGCAAUGCCGCGUGGGUGAAGAAGGCCUUCGGGUUGUAAAGCCCUUUCGGCAGGGAAGAAAUCGGCGGGGCGAAUAACCCUGCUGGAUGACGGUACCUGCAGAAGAAGCACCGGCUAACUACGUG
RNAcentral lists this ribosomal RNA (490 nucleotides) under uncultured bacterium. Its description in RNAcentral is "partial 16S ribosomal RNA". It matches the Rfam family "Bacterial small subunit ribosomal RNA", at positions 29 to 507 of the family's 1533-position model. The record is from RNAcentral.